This 253-nucleotide ribosomal RNA is filed under the name uncultured bacterium. Its description in RNAcentral is "partial 16S ribosomal RNA". It matches the Rfam family "Bacterial small subunit ribosomal RNA", at positions 524 to 776 of the family's 1533-position model. The record is from RNAcentral.
UACGGAGGAUGCAAGCGUUAUCCGGAAUGAUUGGGCGUAAAGCGUCCGCAGGUGGCUAUGUAAGUCUGCUGUUAAAGAGUGAGGCUCAACCUCAUAAGAGCAGUGGAAACUACAUGGCUAGAGUGCGUUCGGGGCAGAGGGAAUUCCUGGUGUAGCGGUGAAAUGCGUAGAGAUCAGGAAGAACACCGGCGGCGAAAGCGCUCUGCUAGGCCGCAACUGACACUGAGGGACGAAAGCUAGGGGAGCGAAUGGG